RNAcentral lists this long non-coding RNA (432 nucleotides) under Salmo salar (Atlantic salmon). RNAcentral describes it as "lncRNA (ENSSSAG00000082885.1)". The stretch from base 78 to 131 matches the Rfam family "UnaL2 LINE 3' element". The record is from RNAcentral. Lineage: Eukaryota; Metazoa; Chordata; Actinopteri; Salmoniformes; Salmonidae.
AGCAUGGUGUGUGCAACGCCAGGGUUGUGGGUUCGAUUCCCACGGGGGGCCAGUACAAAAAAAAUGCAUGAAAUGUAUUCAUUCACUACUGUAAGUCGCUCUGGAUAAGAGCGUCUGCUAAAUGACUAAAAUGUAAAAAAAAAUGUAAAAAAUGUAGAGAGAGGGAGAGAGAGGUAGAGAGGGAGAGCGAGGGAGAGCGAGGGAGAGAGAGGGAGAGCGAGGUAGAGAGAGGGAGAGAGAGGUAGAGAGAGGUAGAGGUAGAGAGAGGGAGAGUGAGGUAGGUAGAGGUAGAGAGAGGUAGAGAGAGGUAGAGAGAGGGAGAGGUAGAGAGGUAGAGAGAGGGAGAGCGAGAAAGACAAUUAGACCCAACCAAAUCAUGAAAAAACAAAAAGAUAAUUUCUUGACACAUUGGAAAGAAUGAACAAAAAAACA